AGAGUUUGAUCCUGGCUCAGAACGAACGCUAGCGGGAUGCCUCAAACAUGCAAGUCGAACGAGAAAGUAUCUUCGGAUGCGAGUAAAGUGGCGCACGGGUGCGUAACACGUAGCUAACCUACCCCUUCGCUGGGGAUAACUUCGGGAAACCGAAGCUAAUACCGAAUGAUCUGAUACGGUCUGCGGACUGUAUUGGUAAAGCCUUCGGGCGCGAAGAGAUGGGGCUGCGGUCCAUUAGUUUGAUGGUGGGGUAACGGCCUACCAUGACUACGAUGGAUAGCUGGUCUGAGAGGAUGAUCAGCCACACUGGAACUGGAACACGGUCCAGACUCCCACGGGAGGCAGCAGUUGGGAAUAUUGGACAAUGGGGUGACCCCUGAUCCAGCAAUCCCGCGUGAGUGAUGAAGGCUUUCGGGUCGUAAAGCUCUUUCAGCAGGGAAGAAGGGAAACUUGACGGUACCUGCAGAAGAAGCACCGGCUAACUCCGUGCCAGCAGCCGCGGUAAUACGGAGGGUGCAAGCGUUGUUCGGAAUCAUUGGGCGUAAAGCGCGUGUAGGCGGCCAACUAAGUCUGGUGUGAAAGCCCUGGGCUUAACCCAGGAAGUGCAUUGGAUACUGGUUGGCUAGAGGACGAGAGAGGGAAGUGGAAUUCCUGGUGUAGGGGUGAAAUCCGUAGAUAUCAGGAGGAACAUCGGUGGCG
Molecule: ribosomal RNA, 699 nt
Filed under: uncultured bacterium
Lineage: Bacteria
Description: bacterial SSU rRNA
Rfam family: Bacterial small subunit ribosomal RNA
Source: RNAcentral